GACGAACGCUGGCGGCGUGCCUAAUACAUGCAAGUUGAGCGCUGAAGGUUGGUACUUGUACCCACUGGAUGAGCAGCUAACGGGUGAGUAACGCGUGGGUAAUCUUCCUUUGAUCGGUGGACAACAUUUUGAAACGACUGCUAAUACCGCAUAAAAACUUUAAACACAAGUUUUAAGUUUUAAAGAUGCAUUUGCAUCACUCAAAGAUGAUCCCGCGUUGUAUUAGCUAGUUGGUGAGGUAAAGGCUCACCAAGGCGAUGAUACAUAGCCGAACUGAGAGGGAGAUUGGGCAAAUCGGGAAUGAGACACGGCCCAAACUCCUACGGGAGGAAGAAGUAGGGAAUAUUCGGAAAGGGAGGAAAGGCUGAACGAGCAAAGCCGCGGGAGUGAAGAAGGUUUUCGGAGCGGAAAACUCUGUUGGUAGAGAAGAAAGUUGGGGAGAGUGGAAAGCUCAUCAAGUGACGGUAACUAACCAGAAAGGGACGGCUAACUACGUG
Molecule: ribosomal RNA, 497 nt
Filed under: uncultured bacterium
Lineage: Bacteria
Description: partial 16S ribosomal RNA
Rfam family: Bacterial small subunit ribosomal RNA
Source: RNAcentral